This is a non-coding RNA of Schizosaccharomyces pombe (fission yeast), 2168 nucleotides long. The record is from the annotation of a GenBank genome assembly. Lineage: Eukaryota; Fungi; Ascomycota; Schizosaccharomycetes; Schizosaccharomycetales; Schizosaccharomycetaceae.
GGAAGAGACACCCUCAAAAAUCACAAGAUUUCAUAUGUGCUAGCGUACGCAAAGCUUCCCUCCCAAAUCUCACUGUGCAAUAGUAAUAUGCUUUAGAGGGAAUUGCAUACUCGGAAAUACAAUUCACUAUAUCGAAAAUUUGAUAUUAACAAACGAGGAACGAUGAAAGACGAACGACGUUGAAACUCCGAUGCCAGCCAACCUAGUCUAGUCUAGUAGCAAAAAGCAAAGCAACUUCUAGCGCCAUCUGCAUAGUGCGCUUUCGCUUCUUAAAUUUUCUUCCUUCUCUUAUUUCCCAAAGAAUGCGAUGCGCUGAGAAAAUGGGAGCACCUUGGGCUAAUCUAGUCAAAAUGGGUCAUUUUCGCAGGAAACCCCAUGUUCUUUCGCUCUCCGAAAAUCCCAAACUCGCUUUUCAUUUGCUUUGCUCAACUUGUUGGUUUUGUUAGCUUCGACCCACUGGUAACUGUUAGUAUUCUCUGCUUUAUGGCGAAUUCCCUUCUCACACGUUCCUGCCCCAUCAACACGAGAAGUUCGGCCCUGGGCCCUUUGAAUUUUCCCUACCAAAACAUCUCUUAUCAUGGUACGUUACGUGCGGCAUUUAACGUGGAUAAAUGAAUGGAAAGCAUAAACGUAGAUAAGCCAUUACGUUGAAUAACCAAGCAUAAACGUUGAUACACAAACAAAAGUGGGAUUUCAUACAUAUGCAUAACAAAAGAAACUUUAAUCUUCUGAUAGCGUUUGUUUAGUUUGGUUUGUUGACCCGCACGUCCACUACGGCCGCGAGGAGUUGGGCUCUUUUCGUACGACCUCAAAAUAAGGUUUAUUACGUCAAUGUGCCGUAAUUACUUUAAUGCAUGCGAAGCGAAUCAUGGCCAAGCGAUGAGAGUAAAAAAAUGGGAAACAGAGUUUAUCGAGCGGUUGGUUAAACCAUUAUUCUGUAUUUAGGAAUUGGUAAUAGUAGCAAACGCUUGUGUAAACAGAUAUACCCGAGACACUAAAAUUCGCCACCUACGCUGACAUCUUAGACAUUAGCUACGCCAGUUUCCGCCCAGUACUUUGAAAGUCGCAAAGUGGGGGAUUUCGAUCCUUAUGGGGGUAGGGUGAGCGUUAAGACUAGGAAAGGGUGGGAUGGAGGGGACUGGUGAAGACUUGGACUGGGGUUCACGUGUGUGGGAGAUUUUGGUCUAUGUGGGGGAUUGACUGGAUUGGUAGUUGUAAAACAAAAACACAACGGUUGUAAUGUAGUAGUAGUAGUAGCAGUAUAAUGUGUUUCAAAGUUGGUCUUGAUUGAUGAAUGUGAGUCGAUUUUAUGCCAACGUGUCUUUUUUUUUUGUUUUCACUUAACGAACCAGAGUUCCAUUUGUUACUAAAGAAAAAUAAAAUAUAAAAAAAUAAAAUAAAAUUCUAUUUCUUGAGUGUUUGUCCCUACUACUCUUUAUUACAUUUCUUUGAUAUUCCCAUCGCUUGCAUCCUAAUUAGCAACCUCUUUAGCAUCAUAAAUAUAAUACUACUACUUUCUAUGAGCCAGUAUUUUGGUCGACCUAUUGCUGCUACUGCAAAAGUAUCCUUUCUGCGUCUUUUUAAAAUUUUCAACAUGCGAAGCUUUCUCUUGACACUGUUGUGUUAAGGUUCGUUAAGCGGUUCGCACUUUGACCACCUUCGGACAUUUGUCUUCGUUUAUAGUCCAUGUGAUUAGUGCAUAACCUGCUAUGGUAUAAAGCAUGCAACAAAGGAAAAUGAAAGAAAGUAUUGAAUAUGCGAAAUGCGACGCUGAUUAAGGAAGACUAGAAUGAAUUAAAAAAUUUUUCUUGAUAUUGCUUUAGAAAAUCUUUUUCGUUUCCAUUUGUUGUUCUUUUUUUUGCAUACAUUUUUUUUUUCGGUGGCAUUCAUUUUAUUCUUUUCGGUUUGUUUACCUAAUCAAAUUUUACUAUUUGGAAGUGCUUCAUCCACAUUUUCAAGAGCUAAUAAAAUUUUUUUUUUUGCUUUCUUAUUUCCCUUUUUUUAUUUUUAUUUUAUUUCAAUUAUUAACUCUUCUCUUUUUUCCCUCUAUCUGUUUCUUCUAACUAAUCAUCUUUGCUCUACAUUCAAAUCACUCAGUAAUUUGUUCGCAAACAUCGCAACUAAAUUUGGAAAUGAAAUUCAAACUAUUUUACUCAUGGUCGCAGUGC